UUGAUUUCUAUUCUACAAGUAGAGACUGCUUACUUCCCGAACAAGGAGGAAUCAUGUUUGUACAUAUAUAUAAUCUUCAUUGAACGUUAUUGAAUAGAAAUGUUCCUAAUGUUCUCACACUUGAAUGAGAAAAAUGGAUGUGAAUUCAUUUUCCGUGACGACUUAUCUAACUUGCUGACAAAGAAGAGUUUACUUUUUCAAAAGCCAUUGAAUUAUCAAUUGACAUUCACUUUAAUAAAUUGUCAGCUCAAAGGAAGCGAAAGCUGGAACUAAUCCCCAGGAAAAACUGGUACAUAUACUAUUUCAUUCAGUGAUAAUCUCAUAUCUACAAGAUAUUUCGGAAAAACUUUUACUGUGUAUAAGGAUGAAUGUUAUCUAUUGUCAGCUGCCUAAGAAGAGAUAUGACACAGGAAAACCAUACUGGACAGGUCAGCAGGGAUGACAGUGAAAGACAGGGUAAAUACACAUGGUCAUCACUUUCAAGAACAUCUGAGGAAGCAAAUGUCCAGUGCGUAGCUUUAUAUUUUAAAAAUCAGCAUGAAUUUAUCUUAUAAACCAUCCACUCAGUGCAAGAACUUGAACUAUUCAAUUACAGAAUCUCCAUCUUCAAAUGAGCCACUUAAAGUAUUCUUAGUCGUAACAUGGUGUCAAAUGGCAGGAUGUAAUUAUCUGCCGGGGAACACUUGUACAAGUCCACAGAGAAAGUAUUUCAACUAGCAGAAGUUUUCACCAGAGAUAGUUAAACAAAUUUUUAAUCAAGGUUUUAAUUAGGAAUAGUAAAGGUUAUCUAUUUGUAUGUAAAUGUGUGAGCAGACGUUCCUCGGUAAAUAGGUAGAGAUAUUACAGUUAAUUAUUUAACUCUUACAACAUUGGACUUAUGGAAUGUAAAGUGUCUUGUAAAAAUCAUUAAGUAGACGGGCAUUGUUUUUGUGAAUUUUGAAAUCAACAUUCCUUGAGAGCAGAGAAAAUUUCCAAUAGAGAAAAACAAUAUACCACGGAAAAAAAUAGUUCAUGUGAUGCCAAAAUAUCAAGUAAGACGUAAGCUUAGGUGUUUAUAAAACUGAAGCUGAAGGUAUAAUGGAUAAUCCUUCACAUUAUCAAGUGAAACACUGUUUUCUAUCAAAUGACUUUUGUUCAACAGCAAUAAAAGGAUCCUGAUCCAUAUGGUUACAACCUGGAGCACUUGUCAAAAAGGAAAAAAUAAUACAGUAGAGAUGAUCACUUCGUAUGCCUCAAGUCAAAUUCCAAGAAAUUUGCUUUUUACUCUUCCAUUUUAAAUUCCAGUGAAAAUGAGACCUGUUUUAGUGAGAAGAACAAGUAUUUGAACCUUGAGAAUGACAACUAACUGGAUGUUGACAAGAGAAAAAGUUGACAGAAACAUUUGUCUACGUCAUUGAAGUAUGAAAACACGAUUAAUUUGGUUGUUUUGUAGAGGUUUUUGCACCACAUAAAAGUCUUAAUACUUUAACACAGGCUAAAUAAAGAAUAUGUUUUUUCUGUGCUAUCCAGUUAUGAGGGCUACACAAUGCCAGAACUAACUAAUGCUAAAAUCCUGCAUCUUUAUAAUCAAUUUCUGCAGCUUGAACAAUAAUUCAGGUAGCAGCAGUCUUCAACUGAUACAGUGUUGAAUAAAAGCACAGAAUUGUCUAUGUAAUCCUAACAGACUCCUCGGUGCCGGAAAGUUUCAGGCUAUUGAUUAUUGGUGAGACUGUUAAUCUUAGAUCUUGGAAUUAGGUGAUUGAAGAGUACUGGACAUGUCAUUUAUGCAUCAAAUAUUUCGGUUACAGAAAUCUGUCUACUCAUAUAGCAAAUGUUUUAACAUUAUUAGCAAGGAGAUUACACAUAGUAAAUUUAAAUACUCCCGUUUGACAUACGAUUAUUCAACAGAUGUCAAAAUAUUUGAAAAUAAACCAGUAAUUAAACUGUUCUUAUUACUAAGAGUGUAUUGUUUUUAACAUGUGAAAUGAAAUAAAAAAAUUAAAUUGUUG
This is a long non-coding RNA of Mytilus californianus (California mussel), 1988 nucleotides long. RefSeq lists it as uncharacterized. NCBI's taxonomy places the organism in Eukaryota, Metazoa, Mollusca, Bivalvia, Mytilida, Mytilidae. The transcript has 7 exons. The record is from RefSeq and is a predicted model, not a curated record.